Molecule: RNase P RNA, 386 nt
Filed under: Armatimonadota bacterium
Lineage: Bacteria; Bacillati; Armatimonadota
Description: Armatimonadetes bacterium (hot springs metagenome) partial RNase P RNA component class A
Rfam family: Bacterial RNase P class A
About the family: Ribonuclease P (RNase P) is a ubiquitous endoribonuclease, found in archaea, bacteria and eukarya as well as chloroplasts and mitochondria. Its best characterised activity is the generation of mature 5'-ends of tRNAs by cleaving the 5'-leader elements of precursor-tRNAs. Cellular RNase Ps are ribonucleoproteins.
Source: RNAcentral
CGAGCCGGGUGAUCGCUCCGAGCAAUCGGGGAGGAAAGUCCGGGCUCCGCAGGGCAAGGUGGUUGCUAGCGGCAACCGUCCUGGCGAAAGUCAGGAUAGGGAAAGUGCCACAGAAAAGAAAACCCUUCGUUUCCACCGUUGGACCGAGACAUGGGUGUCCCGGCCCAGCGGUGGGAGCGGAGGAAAGCUGAAACGGUGGUGUAAGAGACCACCAGCUCCGUCGUGAGACGGAGGCUUGGCAAACCCCACCUGGAGCAAGGCCGAAUAGGGGAGGGUUGAAGCUGCCCGCCGACCUCCCGGGUGUCGCCGCAUGAGCCGCACGGCAACGUGCUGCCUAGAUAGAUGAUCACCCUCGACAGAACCCGGCUUACAGGCUCGCCCCGUUC